Non-coding RNA from Triticum urartu, 126 nucleotides. Lineage: Eukaryota; Viridiplantae; Streptophyta; Magnoliopsida; Poales; Poaceae. The record is from Rfam.
AAAAUACUCCCUCCAUCCGAAAAAACUUGUCCCAAGCUUGUUUAUCAAAUGGAUGUAUCUAGCACUAACUUGGUGCUAGAUACAUCCAUUUGAAGGACAAGCUUUUUCGGACGGAGGGAGUAUUGU